RNAcentral lists this long non-coding RNA (1128 nucleotides) under Sus scrofa (pig). Its description in RNAcentral is "lncRNA (ENSSSCG00025072278.1)". The record is from RNAcentral. Lineage: Eukaryota; Metazoa; Chordata; Mammalia; Artiodactyla; Suidae.
AUGCUGCUUGGAGCUUCAUCCUGUGGGUGGCACGUGGCCACUCCACCCACAACCCAUGGAUCAACACAUGGCCAUGUACCAAAAUCAAUGCACUGGGAUGUGCACUCACCUGUAGUGGAGACCCUGCAAGGUCAUGGAGCAAAGUGCCUGGAAGAUCCCCCUGUCAUGGGGAGGAGUCAAGCACUGGGAAACACAGCAGCUGUCUCUCCUCAGGAUUCAGCCUUCUCCCCAAAACUUUCUGCCACAACCGCAGGAUUGUCAGAUUCACACCCCCAGACCUACCAGGUUGCAGAAUUUAAGUCUAGGUAUACUUGAGGUUUUAACUGCUUUUGCAUUUCCAACUUUUUGUUUCCUAUAGCUUGUUCUAUUCACCAGUUUCUGGUGGCUUCUUGGGGGAGUCUGUGCAUCAGCACUAGGGAGUUGUCAGUGACCCUCAUAGGGAUUCAUCAGAAGUUUAAUUAAUUAUUCAGUCCACUAACCUCCACCUCUUGCCAUUUCAAAAUCUAGCACCUAAACCCACCAUGCUCAACCAUCCAAGUUGCAAUGUUUUAUUCUCAUCUGAUGUCCCCCCAUGGACCUACAUUUUCCUUUUCUGCUCUAAUCCACUCCCUGUUGCACUGUCUGUUUCUGAGACCAUAACAUUACUUCUUCUCUCUCCCAGUGUGUGUGUGUGUGUGUGUGUGUGUGUGUUUUUAAUCAGCAAAAUAGUGUUGCACUCUGUGUAGGGAGAUAAAGUUGCUUGGAGUCCGUGGGGCAGGCAUGCAGGUGUAUGGAGGGUGGGAAGGGGUUGUCACAGGAUUAUAAGGGAAAUGGUGAUACUUAAAUUAAGCCAUAGAUUUGGAUAAGAUCUCCAGGAGAAAUGUGAAGAUUGACAUAUUUCAAUCCUGUUCCCUCUUGAUAACAACAGUAACAAAAUGCACACUCCCCCUUAAUGGUUAACAUUUAAUGAGGUCACUUUCGAUGACCCUAGUGUAUCACUUUACUUAUCAGUGAUAGACACUGAGAUCAAAGGCAAACCACAAUCAGUGUCUUGAAAGCAGCAGAUGAAAGUUUUCAAAGAGUAUGACGAUGAUAAAAAUCGGAGGUCCAACAAGAAUAUAAAUAAAAAGCAUGGACUGAAUUUGGCCA